CUACGUGCCAGCAGCCGCGGUAAUACGGAGGGUGCGAGCGUUAAUCGGAAUAACUGGGCGUAAAGGGCACGCAGGCGGCUAUUUAAGUGAGGUGUGAAAUCCCCGGGCUUAACCUGGGAAUUGCAUUUCAGACUGGGUAGCUAGAGUACUUUAGGGAGGGGUAGAAUUCCACGUGUAGCGGUGAAAUGCGUAGAGAUGUGGAGGAAUACCGAAGGCGAAGGCAGCCCCUUGGGAAUGUACUGACGCUCAUGUGCGAAAGCGUGGGGAGCAAACAGGAUUAGAUACCCUGGUAGUCCACGCUGUAAACGCUGUCGAUUUGGGGAUUGGGCUUUAAGCUUGGUGCCCGUAGCUAACGUGAUAAAUCGACCGSCCUGGGGAGUACGGCCGCAAGGUUAAAACUCAAAUGAAUUGACGGGGGCCCGCACAAGCGGAGGAACAUGUGGUUUAAUUCGAUGAUACGCGAGGAACCUUACCCGGGAUUGAA
RNAcentral lists this ribosomal RNA (484 nucleotides) under uncultured bacterium. RNAcentral describes it as "bacterial SSU rRNA". It matches the Rfam family "Bacterial small subunit ribosomal RNA", at positions 501 to 985 of the family's 1533-position model. The record is from RNAcentral.